Molecule: ribosomal RNA, 349 nt
Filed under: uncultured bacterium
Lineage: Bacteria
Description: bacterial SSU rRNA
Rfam family: Bacterial small subunit ribosomal RNA
Source: RNAcentral
UAAGGAAUAUUGGUCAAUGGACGCAAGUCUGAACCAGCCAUGCCGCGUGGAGGAUUAAGGCCCUCUGGGUUGUAAACUCCUUUUCUCUGGGAAGAACUGUACUUUUUCUUGAGUACUUGACGGUACCAGAGGCAUAAGCACCGGCUAACUCCGUGCCAGCAGCCGCGGUAAUACGGAGGGUGCAAGCGUUAUCCGGAUUCACUGGGUUUAAAGGGUGCGUAGGUGGGCAGGUAAGUCAGUGGUGAAAUCUCCGGGCUUAACCCGGAAAUUGCCGUUGAUACUAUUUGUCUUGAAUAUUGUGUGGUUAAGCGGAAUAUGUAAUGUAUCUGUGAAAUGCUUAGAUAUGACA